Molecule: ribosomal RNA, 301 nt
Filed under: uncultured bacterium
Lineage: Bacteria
Description: partial 16S ribosomal RNA
Rfam family: Bacterial small subunit ribosomal RNA
Source: RNAcentral
CAGCAGCCACGGUAAUACGGAGGAUCCGAGCGUUAUCCGGAUUUAUUGGGUUUAAAGGGUGCGUAGGCGGCUUUUUAAGUCAGGGGUGAAAGACGGUAGCUUAACUAUCGCAGUGCCCUUGAUACUGAAGAGCUUGAAUGUACUAGAGGUAGGCGGAAUGUGACAAGUAGCGGUGAAAUGCAUAGAUAUGUCACAGAACACCAAUUGCGAAGGCAGCUUACUAUGGUAUGAUUGACGCCGAGGCACGAAAGCGUGGGGAUCAAACAGGAUUAGAUACCCCAGUAGUCCCUGUCUCUUAUAC